UGGGUGGCGAGUGGCGGACGGGUGAGGAAUACAUCGGAAUCUACUUUUUCGUGGGGGAUAACGUAGGGAAACUUACGCUAAUACCGCACACAACCUACGGGUGAAAGCAGGGGACCUUCGGGCCUUGCGCGAUUGAAUGAGCCGAUCUCGGAUUAUCUAGUUGGCGGGGUAAAGGCCCACCAGGGCGACUAUCCGUAUCUGGUCUGAGAGGAUGAUCACCCACACUGGAACUGAGACACGGUCCAGACUCCUACGGGAGGCAGCAGUGGGGAAUAUUGGACAAUGGGCGCAAGCCUGAUCCAGCCAUACCGCGUGGGUGAAGAAAGCCUUCGGGUUGUAAAGCCCUUUUGUUGGGAAAGAAAUCCAGCCGGCUAAUACCUGGUUGGGAUGACGGUACCCAAAGAAUAAGCGCCGGCUAACUUCGUGCCAGCAGCCGCGGUAAUACGAAGGGUGCAAGCGUUACUCAAAAUUACUGGGCGUAAAGCGUGCGUAGGUGGUUGUU
Molecule: ribosomal RNA, 502 nt
Filed under: Stenotrophomonas sp.
Lineage: Bacteria; Pseudomonadati; Pseudomonadota; Gammaproteobacteria; Lysobacterales; Lysobacteraceae
Description: bacterial SSU rRNA
Rfam family: Bacterial small subunit ribosomal RNA
Source: RNAcentral